RNAcentral lists this ribosomal RNA (539 nucleotides) under uncultured bacterium. RNAcentral describes it as "bacterial SSU rRNA". It matches the Rfam family "Bacterial small subunit ribosomal RNA", at positions 777 to 1319 of the family's 1533-position model. The record is from RNAcentral.
AAUAGAUACCCUGGUAGUCCACCCCGUAAACGUUGGGAACUAGUUGUGGGGUCCUUUCCACGGAUUCCGUGACGCAGCUAACGCAUUAAGUUCCCCGCCUGGGGAGUACGGCCGCAAGGCUAAAACUCAAAGGAAUUGACGGGGACCCGCACAAGCGGCGGAGCAUGCGGAUUAAUUCGAUGCAACGCGAAGAACCUUACCAAGGCUUGACAUACACCGGAAACGGCCAGAGAUGGUCGCCCCGCAAGGUCGGUGUACAGGUGGUGCAUGGUUGUCGUCAGCUCGUGUCGUGAGAUGUUGGGUUAAGUCCCGCAACGAGCGCAACCCUGUCGCAUGUUGCCAGCAUUCAGUUGGGGUACUCAUGCGAGACUGCCGGUGACAAACCGGAGGAAGGUGGGGAUGACGUCAAGUCAUCAUGCCCCUUAUGUCCAGGGCUACACACGUGCUACAUUGGCCGGUACGAAAGGGCUGCGAUACCGCGAGGUGGAGCGAAUCCCAUAAGCCGGUCUCGGUUCGGAUUGGAGGCUGAACUCGCCUCC